GGGCACCUACGGGGGCCUAUAACAUCGGGGCAGCGCAAGCCGCCCACACAGAAAACGGAAGACAGUUA
This 68-nucleotide non-coding RNA is filed under the name unclassified sequences. RNAcentral describes it as "L2-Alphaproteobacteria ribosomal protein leader". It matches the Rfam family "L2-Alphaproteobacteria ribosomal protein leader". The record is from RNAcentral.